CUGACUGUGUUUGAGCAUCAACCAUCAUCGAUGUAAAACACAGAGUCCACCUCCUCUCAUCUUGCUGGAGACUUGCGCUGACAGCUCUGAACAGGAUGUUGAUGGGGCAGGUGAUGAAUUCUGUUGCUUGGUUGACAUAAGUCCCAUUUUGUCCAGACCGGCUCUUUAGGAGCAGAAUUAAGUUCAAGCUGGGCCAGCAUGGCUCCUCUCCUGGCUCUCUUUCCUGUCCUCUGAGCGAUCACCGCACCCGCCGUGGCGCCUGGUCCGGUUAAUUGCAUUCAAAGGUUUGGCAUCCAAGAUGAAAGUCCCAGAUGUUUGGAACUUCCCACCAGCUUCUGAACACAAUGAGAGCAACUGAAUGAUCCAAUUUUAUUGGGAUUGUGUCGCCAGGAAAUAAUUUAGGUCCAAGUUUUACUUCCUGUCAGCUGCUGGCAAGUGCUGCAACCUGAACCCAUUUAGAAUGUUAAUGGCUGAAAAUGUGCAUUGCUGUCUCCUUUAAAUAAAAGUAGCCAUCCAGUAAAUCAA
Long non-coding RNA from Micropterus dolomieu (smallmouth bass), 525 nucleotides. RefSeq lists it as uncharacterized. NCBI's taxonomy places the organism in Eukaryota, Metazoa, Chordata, Actinopteri, Centrarchiformes, Centrarchidae. The record is from RefSeq and is a predicted model, not a curated record. The transcript has 2 exons.